Molecule: long non-coding RNA, 1123 nt
Organism: Oryzias melastigma (Indian medaka)
Lineage: Eukaryota; Metazoa; Chordata; Actinopteri; Beloniformes; Adrianichthyidae
Exons: 3
Source: RefSeq, a predicted model, not a curated record
AUAAAGACUUCUGACCCUCUGAAAUCCGGCUGAUAAUAGACGACGCCAACAAGCUGCCAAUUACCAAACUUUGGAGAGGGCGGUCCUUCCCGCACAGAAACAAGAAAAUGGAGUUGAUUUGAUUUUCAUUACUGAGCAGAAAUGGCCCGACAUGCAGGCGGGACUGAACCGGUUCAGAGCGUCUGGUCUAAGGCAGCGGUGCGUUCACGGCUCACGGGAGCGGCAGAAACGGCAGUUUCAACGUUAACUCAAAGGCCCAGAUGAAAUCUGAGGUCCUGCGGCGGGAUUUGAGCGACUGGGAUGGCGGUCUGGCAGCAGUGAGAUUUGAGCGGCAGGGCGCCAUUUUGGGUGGGAGUUCAAAUGUUUCAACUUUGGUGAAGUCGCCACGUCACAUCAACCAAUCAGGGACUCAACUUUGGUCACGUGACGCUUUCAGAGACGGGGAGAAUACACUGAACGUCCCAAGCUGGGAUCAAUAAACAGAUCAAAUAUCUUUAUCUUAUCUACGUCCAAUAUGGUGGAUCGAUCCAAUAGUUCUCCUGAACUUCCAUCCAUUUCAUGGACAAUAACCAGCUGGAACUGUCUCUCACUUGUUUACACACUGGGCUAAGGGGUAUUUAUUUAUUAUUAUUAUUAUUAUUAUUAUUUGUAAAUGUGAAGUAUGGAGUACAGAUGCUUUAAACGCAAUUUUGUUGUUUCUCUGUGACAAUGACAAUAAAAUUGAAUUGAAUUGAACCCGCUGUAUCCCUUUCGUGGCAGUGGCGUUCCCGGCUGCUGUUAGAUGAAGUUGGAUUCGCCGGCGGUUGAUGGACCGACCCCGGGAGGCGAGCUCGCAGACAGACAGAGAGCCGCUGUGGCUUUGGGGAGGCAGCCUGUUCAGCCCUUCUGAACCUGAUAUUUUUUCUCAUUUUCAUCAAAUAAAAAUGUGUAUUAAUGCGGUAAAACCUGUAAACUCAGUCAGAGAGAAAUGAAAGACCGUGGAAGCCGACGCCUUUCAGACUCAGGUUUUGCUGUAGUAGUGAAGCUCUCUCAACAGAGACAAUCUCUGAUGAUCUGAUGAACCUAAACAUGGAGACGGGAGGAUUUUGUUGAACUCUUUACAAUAAAUAAACCUAAAUAAACA